This 492-nucleotide ribosomal RNA is filed under the name uncultured bacterium. Its description in RNAcentral is "partial 16S ribosomal RNA". It matches the Rfam family "Bacterial small subunit ribosomal RNA", at positions 29 to 507 of the family's 1533-position model. The record is from RNAcentral.
AGUGAACGCUGGCGGUAGGCCUAACACAUGCAAGCCGAACGGCAGCACAGUAAGAGCUUGCUCUUACGGGUGGCGAGUGGCGGACGGGUGAGGAAUACAUCGGAAUCUACUUUUUCGUGGGGGAUAACGUAGGGAAACUUACGCUAAUACCGCAUACGACCUACGGGUGAAAGCAGGGGAUCUUCGGACCUUGCGCGAUUGAAUGAGCCGAUGUCGGAUUAGCUAGUUGGCGGGGUAAAGGCCCACCAAGGCGACGAUCCGUAGCUGGUCUGAGAGGAUGAUCAGCCACACUGGAACUGAGACACGCUCCAGACUCCUACGGGAGGCAGCAGUGGGGAAUAUUGGACAAUGGGCGCAAGACUGAUCCAGCCAUACCGCGUGGGUGAAGAAGGCCUUCGGGUUGUAAAGCCCUUUUGUUGGGAAAGAAAAGCAGCAGGUUAAUACCCCGCUGUUCUGACGGUACCCAAAGAAUAAGCACCGGCUAACUUCGUG